This 184-nucleotide long non-coding RNA is filed under the name Ictidomys tridecemlineatus (thirteen-lined ground squirrel). Its description in RNAcentral is "lncRNA (ENSSTOG00000030385.1)". Lineage: Eukaryota; Metazoa; Chordata; Mammalia; Rodentia; Sciuridae. The record is from RNAcentral.
AGAUCAUUUCUCAAAUACUAUCUUCACAUCAUGGCUUGGAGACAUGGAAAGAAACAGAAAGCAGGUUCCUGAUGUUCAUCUAUAAUACGAAAUGGCCUCCUAAUGGCUCUGCCAUUGGCAUCCAGUGGUUCUGAACUGGGCUGAAGCCACCACGUAUGAGGUGUUUUGAUUUUGUCACAGUAAC